CCUACGGGAGGCAGCAGUGGGGAAUAUUGCACAAUGGGGGAAACCCUGAUGCAGCAACGCCGCGUGAAGGAAGACGGUUUUCGGAUUGUAAACUUCUGUUCUUAGUGAAGAGUAAUGACGGUUACCAAGUAGAAAGCCACGGCUAACCACGUGCCAGCAGCCGCGGUAAUACGGAGGUGGCAAGCGUUGUCCGGAAUUACUGGGUGUAAAGGGCGUGCAGGCGGGAAGCCAAGUCAGCUGUGAAAACUACGGGCUUAACUUGUAGACUGCAUUUGAAACUGGUUUUCUUGAGUGUAGUAGAGGAUAGCGGAAUUCCGGGUGUAGCAGUGAAAUGCGUAGAUAUUCGGAGGAACACCGGUGGCGAAGGCGACCAACUGGGCUUUAACUGACGCUGAGGCUCGAAAGCGUGGGGAGCAAACAGGAUUAGAUACCCUAGUAGUC
RNAcentral lists this ribosomal RNA (441 nucleotides) under uncultured bacterium. Its description in RNAcentral is "partial 16S ribosomal RNA". It matches the Rfam family "Bacterial small subunit ribosomal RNA", at positions 338 to 795 of the family's 1533-position model. The record is from RNAcentral.